RNAcentral lists this ribosomal RNA (551 nucleotides) under uncultured Glomeromycotina. Its description in RNAcentral is "SSU rRNA". It matches the Rfam family "Eukaryotic small subunit ribosomal RNA", at positions 548 to 1098 of the family's 1831-position model. The record is from RNAcentral. Lineage: Eukaryota; Fungi; Glomeromycota.
UUGGAGGGCAAGUCUGGUGCCAGCAGCCGCGGUAAUUCCAGCUCCAAUAGCGUAUAUUAAAGUUGUUGCAGUUAAAAAGCUCGUAGUUGAAUUUCGGAAUCCAUCCGUCGGUCGGGCUUCACGGUCCGCACUGGCGUGAUGGAUUCCUACCUUCUGAAUAACCAGCAUGCUAUUAAUUUGGUGCGUUGGGGAAGCAGGACUGUUACCUUGAAAAAAUUAGAGUGCUUAAAGCAGGCUAGUGCCUGAAUACAUUAGCAUGGAAUAAUGAAAUAGGACGGCAUGGUUCUAUUUUGUUGGUUUCUAGGAUCACCGUAAUGAUUAAUAGGGAUAGUUGGGGGCAUUAGUAUUCAAUUGUCAGAGGUGAAAUUCUUGGAUUUAUUGAAGACUAACUUCUGCGAAAGCAUUUGCCAAGGAUGUUUUCAUCAAUCAAGAACGAAAGUUAGGGGAUCGAAGACGAUCAGAUACCGUCGUAGUCUUAACCAUAAACUAUGCCGACUAGGGAUCGGACGAUGUUAAUUUUUUAAUGACUCGUUCGGCGCCUUACGGGAAAC